This 494-nucleotide ribosomal RNA is filed under the name uncultured bacterium. RNAcentral's name for it is "partial 16S ribosomal RNA". It matches the Rfam family "Bacterial small subunit ribosomal RNA", at positions 28 to 507 of the family's 1533-position model. The record is from RNAcentral.
GACGAACGCUGGCGGCGUGCUUAACACAUGCAAGUCGAACGGUGAAGCGCCUUCCUUUUUGGUGGGUGUGGAUGAGUGGCGAACGGGUGAGUAACACGUGAGUAACCUGCCCCCUUCUUCUGGAUAACCGCAUGAAAGUGUGGCUAAUACGGGAUAUUCUGGGUCUGUCGCAUGAUGGGUCUGGGAAAGAUAUUGUUUCGGUGGGGGAUGGGCUCGCGGCCUAUCAGCUUGUUGGUGGGGUGAUGGCCUACCAAGGCGGUGACGGGUAGCCGGCCUGGGAGGGUGGAGGGUCACACUGGGACUGAGACACGGCCCAGACUCCUACGGGAGGCAGCAGUGGGGAAUAGUGCACAAUGGGCGCAAGCCUGAUGCAGCGACGCCGCGUGAGGGAUGGAGGCCUUCGGGUUGUGAACCUCUUUCGCCAGUGAAGCAGGCCUGCCUCGUUUGUGGGUGGGUUGACGGUAGCUGGAUAAGAAGCGCCGGCUAACUACGUG